GAAGGAGCAAGAGUGAAUGACAAGGGAUUUUAGUAUGGGUGUUUGCUCAGCAUGCUGUCUCAUGUCUACCCUAUUGUGCAGCCUGACUAAAGAAUGGGUGGUCUGAUUCCUGCUGUCUGCAGGCCUGCACCUCUAGAAUCAUAGAAUAUCUUGAGUUGGAAGGAACCCAUAAGGAUCAUCACAUCCAGCUCCUGAAAAUGCGAUCUGCUGAGUGAUAGGGUGAGAAUAAGGCAUCUGUCCUGUGUGGUUGAGUUCCUACUGACCUCAGAUGUCUUCAGAAAAAUGUAAACAGCCUGAGUAUGGGUGUUUAUAUGGAGUAAAUAUAUUAAUACGCAGUCAGAUGAAUUGCAGUCCAGGUGGCAGCGUACCAAUAUUUUGUUAGCAUCAGUAAUUUCAGGUUCUUACAUGAAUAGACUUUUCAUUUUAACUGCAUACAUGAGGGGAAAAUCACUUUCUUGCGGGGUGUAGGCAUAAUACCACUGUGCUGCUCAAGGCCAAUGAGAAAGCAGCAGAAGUAGUAAGUGUUCCUAUAGAGAUAUGCAGAAGGCUGGGCACAAAAAUCUGCAGGAUUGUAGCAGAAAUGCUAAGUCAUGACCUGAACCAGUGAUUGAGCACCUGGUGGGAAGGCAGGGCCAACCCAGGGGAUCUCAGGUGCAUGCAAUGCUCCUGAGUGACUGGAAGGGGUGGAGCCAGGAUCCACCCCUUCCCAGACCUCAUUUAAGAGCUGGCAGUGGAGGCAAAAGUCUUUUUCUGGAGGUGCCUGUGUACCUGAGGCCUUCUGAAGGAUAUUUAUUCUGGUAUGAGGACCAGGAUGUCUCCUUUGGAAAUCCAGCCACAUGUCUGGAGUAGAUUCUAUUUUUCCUAUUCCAAGCCUGAAGCCAGUCAAAACAUCCAUUAGAUCAUAACACUAAAAGACCUUCAGUGGCUCAGGAUGGUGCUGUUACAGAGACCAAUGGUCUGAUUGAUUGUAAUCCUUCAGACUCAGUAUUCUGUUUUGGGAAAACUGG
Molecule: long non-coding RNA, 1007 nt
Organism: Numida meleagris (helmeted guineafowl)
Lineage: Eukaryota; Metazoa; Chordata; Aves; Galliformes; Numididae
Exons: 3
Source: RefSeq, a predicted model, not a curated record